GGGUUGAUAAUGAUAAUUUUAUUAUCUUAGCAGAUUUCAAUAAGAUUUUUUUAUCUAUGAUCUGGUUGUUACACACACUGAAGCCU
This is a small nucleolar RNA of Macleaya cordata, 86 nucleotides long. It matches the Rfam family "Small nucleolar RNA R11/Z151". Rfam says of the family: snoR11/Z151 is a member of the C/D class of snoRNA which contain the C (UGAUGA) and D (CUGA) box motifs. Most of the members of the box C/D family function in directing site-specific 2'-O-methylation of substrate RNAs. The record is from Rfam. Lineage: Eukaryota; Viridiplantae; Streptophyta; Magnoliopsida; Ranunculales; Papaveraceae.